This 66-nucleotide transfer RNA is filed under the name Anoura geoffroyi (Geoffroy's tailless bat). RNAcentral describes it as "tRNA-Lys". It matches the Rfam family "tRNA". Rfam says of the family: Transfer RNA (tRNA) molecules are approximately 80 nucleotides in length. Their secondary structure includes four short double-helical elements and three loops (D, anti-codon, and T loops). Further hydrogen bonds mediate the characteristic L-shaped molecular structure. tRNAs have two regions of fundamental functional importance: the anti-codon, which is responsible for specific mRNA codon recognition, and the 3' end, to which the tRNAs corresponding amino acid is attached (by aminoacyl-tRNA synthetases). tRNAs cope with the degeneracy of the genetic code in two manners: having more than one tRNA (with a specific anti-codon) for a particular amino acid; and 'wobble' base-pairing, i.e. permitting non-standard base-pairing at the 3rd anti-codon position. Lineage: Eukaryota; Metazoa; Chordata; Mammalia; Chiroptera; Phyllostomidae. The record is from RNAcentral.
CAUUAAGAAGCUAACUAGCAUUAACCUUUUAAGUUAAAGAUUGGGAAUCAAAAUUCUCCUUAAUGA